This 396-nucleotide ribosomal RNA is filed under the name Triticum aestivum (bread wheat). Its description in RNAcentral is "partial small subunit ribosomal RNA". The record is from RNAcentral. Lineage: Eukaryota; Viridiplantae; Streptophyta; Magnoliopsida; Poales; Poaceae.
AUGAUUAUCAAUGAACGAGGUGAAUGGGAGUCUGAAAGUGACCCUGAAGGUGGCAAUGUUGAAGUGGAAGAGGAGAAAGGUUGGGAAGUAGGAGGAACUAUUUUAUCUCAUGAGGAACUUGAUGGAGAAGCUUUGGUUGUAUGUCGUUCACUCAAUGCCCAGGUUGUGGAGGAGGAAAAGGGGCAGCGGCAUAACCUUUUCCACACUCGUUGCCUUAUCAACUCAAAGAUAUGUCGAGUGAUUGUUGAUAGUGGCAGCUGCAACAAUAUUGCAAGCACGGAGAUGGUCGAGAAGCUUCAAUUGCAAACAAAACAUCACCCACAUCCAUACCGCAUGCAAUGGCUGAAUGAUUGUGGCGCAAUUAAGGUGAUUAGCAGCAUGCGAAUACCAAUUUAA